Phocoena sinus (vaquita) is the source of this 6618-nucleotide long non-coding RNA. The record is from Ensembl. NCBI's taxonomy places the organism in Eukaryota, Metazoa, Chordata, Mammalia, Artiodactyla, Phocoenidae.
GUCACAUGAUGGACAUGAUAUAAUGAAACAACAUUGUGGAGAGGAAAGCAUUAGGGGAGCCCACGGCUACAAAAACAAGUGAGUGAGAAGAGGUGGGAGGAAGAGAAACUACGCCACCUCCCCUGCAGCCGAGCUGCACGCAGCAGCAGCCCGCGGGAAGUGGGCGACGCCGGGGGGGAAGGGAGACCCGGUCCCCAGCCCCGGCCCGGGGACCCCGCUGCCCACCGCCAAGAGAACAACUUUUAGCCGGCAGCCUCGGCCAGCACUGCACCUGUCUCCGGAGCCUCCAUCGCUCCUCGUGAUGAUCAAAGGGGCAUUCUAGAAGAAUAUGUUCUACAAAUAUACAUGCGCAUCAUUUCCCCCCUUGCGUCUCGCUCCGGAGGAAGGAGAGAGAAAGGGAUUUAAGCAGCAGCGUGUGUUCAGCCCCAAGGGUGAAAAGAGUUGGGAUAUUUUAUCAUCUGGAGUUUCUCUGCCUCGCUGAUGAUCUAAGCUCAAACCUGCCAGUUUAUGGGAGAUGAUAGAAAACACCCUCUAACAUCUGAGUUGCAGAAAUAUGUGCCUCUAAGAACUCAGGAGGACCUACUUUGUGGGAGCAAAGGUAGUGAGUCAUACCUGCAAGCUUGGAAACGAGAGUUCACUUGUGCCUCUUCAUCCAGUCGGGACAUUUCCUCGGCAACCAUUUAUGCAGCAAUUAAAAGAUGAGGAGUUAAGAGGAGAAAAUGGAAAAAACGGAGGUACUUUUAAUGGAACAGAAUAAACCACUGAACAGGGAAGGAAGAAAGGAUGGAGUUUGAACUGAUUUGCUGGGAAUCGUGUUCAGAAUGGAUCCAGGAUAUUGAAGUGUAAAAGAGUGCCUUGAUUUUCCCACUGAGAAAAAUGAGGAGGCUGCGAUAUACCUGUGGACAGGAUCAGUAGCUUCACUUCUCAGCGCAGAACUUGCCAUGUCUCUUUCCGGCUCGGGAAGUAUGAUGCUCCGCACAGGUUGGUGGGGGACAGAGACGGCAGCGGUAAUAAGGGAUGGGGGCCCACGCGCUGGGGACUAAGUAGCCCAGAGUGAGCCUCCCGAAGUCUCGACCCCAUUUCAGUUUCCCUCGACUAAGAUAAGCUACCAGGGCUCGGCUCAUUGGAGGCUUACUUGAACCUCAGGGUAUAGCUGUAAGGCGGCAUGUGGUGAAAAAAGAAUCCUAGCCUGGGAAAGUCAGAGAGCUUGGGUCCAGUUUCAGCUGUCAGUCAACUAUCUGUAUAACAUAGGAAAGUCUCUUAGCUUCUCUAAUUUCCUGAUUUAUAGAAUAAAUCUGAGAUUUAGUCUCAAUAAGUUAUGGUCUCGGCAAGCGGCAGAGCUAGGUUGUGCUAUGACUUUUUUGGGGAACAUUUCUUGGUAACUAGUUCAUCUUUCCUUAUUAAUCCAGUCAGCCAGUAUGAUACCAAGUUUAGGAAGAAUAUCACAGUAUCACGUAAUACUCUACCUUGGGGCGUUUCUGCUUCUUACCAUUCCGGACCGUUCCUAGUCUAUUUCAACCUUCCCUUCUGAGAGUCUUCUGUCUUCCCUAAUAAUUUCUUCUCCAGCUACCUCUUGUGUUUAAGAAUUUAAAAAGAUGAGCCUAGUAAUCAGGAAACACUCAGAACUGAUGUUUGUCACCGACCUUGCCCUGCCACUUGCCUGGGGUAUGAUGUUUUUUAAAAAGCUGAAAUAAAGAUAUGAAAAGCAUUUUGAAAAAUGUGAAGCAUUAGGUGAUAAAAGUAAUAGUUAUGAGGUACAAAUACCUGCUGUCAACCAUGUUAAUUGUUUUUAUUGGUAUUAACAAACUAUUUAUUAACAAAUUAAUAACAGAAAUUGCAUUGAGAAACAAAACAGUCACAGGCCAAACCUUUUGAAUUUCAAAUAUGUUUAUGUUAACAUACUCUGUUUUAGACAACCAGCACAGAGACUAUGGUCAAGUAGUUUUUAUAUGAUGAAGUCAUGUAUCAGUCAAUCCAUUACACUUUUUAAGGUGUUUUAAUGUUUAUCUCCCACUUUUUGGUUUCCAGAGUGAAAUAACCUCAGAUGAAAAUUUCUAUGGUGUUGAUGUUUUCCUCUUGAGAAUGUGUUUGCUGUAAUAAAAUACAGUAACCACUUGAAGACUAUAAAACUUGUGUGAAGUCUGGAUAAACCUAAACAGUUUUUUCUUUGUGCUCCAGGAGCACACAGCACUAUAUAUUAAAUAAAGCACAAAUAUCUAUACAUAGCUGCAACUAUGUUUCGUUUCAUUACAACUAUGUCUUGCCUGAUCUUCAAAUAACAUGAAAAAUCAUCUUUAAAAUAAACCUUGAAUGGUUAUGAUCUUCAUAGAAACAGUUUCUUUAUUAAUUAAACUUUUGUUUUUCAUAGUGCAUUGCUUUGAUCUCGUAAUAUUUUUUAAAACAUCCUGAGGGUUUAUUUUCAAGGCUUCCAAAUGAAUUUUUUUUUCUUAAAAGCCGUAAUAUAUUCAUGGCUCAGUGAAUCCCAAAGACAGUAUUUUUAAACUCCUGUUAAGUUUAUUUUUCUUAGCAUGCUAGUCUACUGCAUAAUUUUCUUCGCUCUACGGGUCACGUGAUUCCUCCCGUCCGUAACACACGCACUUAAAAAUUUCACUUCCUGAUUGAGCCAUCAAGAUUAUGUAAAAUGUAAAUCUGUCUAAAUACCUAAGAGCAGGAAUUUUAAGGGAAAAAUGCUGUUUUCUUUUUCUGUUUCAUUAUUGAUGCCUAGAAAAUCAGAGUGUGUGUGUUUGCCUAUUUGUAUUUGGAAACUAGAGACUGUUAGGGUGGUUUUUUGUUUUUGUUUUUGUUUUUUUUCUUUUGUCCCUUCCCUUUCAGAUUGCAUCAGAGUUUGCUUUCAUUAUAAAAAUGAAGUACCAGGCAGAUAGAACGUAGCAGUGGUGUAGUUGCAGGGCUGAAAUCAAAAGGGUUCCGAUUACUGGGAGAGCUGUUCAUUUACUUACUCUUUUCAUGAUCUGAAUGGAGAGUACGGCAUCUCUCGAAAGGUAACGAUUUGAUAUUUCAGAGUUGUAAAUGGCCAUUUAACCCUUCUGCUGCCUGAUAUAAAUGAAAGUAAUUUCUAGCAGGCUGGAUGACACUUGGUUUAUCAUGAAUCCAAAAAUCCCUCACAUUUUCUCAAAGCAAUUUUGAAGUUGUCAUAGUAACGGCAUGAUAUUUGGAGGGUCUUUUUAGUAGUUCUUUAGCUAGAGUUAAUUAAUUUUAUUAACCCUGGACGCUUUUCUUUUUAUUCUUCUCUGACCAACAAGGGCCAUAAUUGCUCAAGUAUGUAUUUGGUGUUUUUUAUUUCUUGGUGACUAUAGUUUGAGGACUUGAUGUUUUGCAGAUUGUUUCAGGAAAGGAACGGGAAUGUUAGCAGUUGAUUUCAGAUCGUUUGAACUUGGGUUUUUAAAUACUUCUCUGUAAAAUUGCACUACCAUCGUAGGACCAGAAUUUAGUUUUAUUUAAAGAGAUGGGUUAUGGGAGAUGCUCGCUCAAAUUUUACUGUGACUUACACAAUUAAAUUGUGUUGCAACUAUCCUCUUUUUUUUUUUUUUUUUUUUUUUAAUUCUGCUAGAUCCAGAGUAAGAAUUGAAGAACACAGAAGGGAAGUGUCAGACUUACAGGAGAAAAUUAUCUCUUAAAAAAUGUAACAGUCAGAUACAAUACCAAAAUCGUGUUCCACAAAAGAAAAAGAAAUGGACAAAUCUGACUUUAUCAAAAUUGAAAGUGCAGCAACAGUGCUCUUUGAAACUCUAAAAUACGCUAAAAUAAAUUAUCCUCUAGGAAAGUUUGUGGGAAUUUUUUUUAUUGGGAGAAAGUAGGUCAGGAUCCUCUGUUAGUAAAGCUCUGUGGCAGAAAUUCUUGCCAAUAUGGCGAUCGGUGAGGAAAGAAGCCCCUCUCUUGGGCAAGGAGAGGGUCAGAAGAAAGAAUGGUCUGUACCAGGUCUGGAUGCUGGGACUUGAAAAAGUAUCAGAUGUUGGAUGCUUUUGUUUUCUUGUAAAAGUGAUCAGAGAGAUGUGACACUUACAAAAGGUAUCAUGUGAGUUCUGUGGGCUUAAUGCUAAUGCCAGUAUCCCUAGUGUUGUGUGGAGUAUUUGUUCAACCAGAGGUGGUUCAAGACAGUCAGGGUAGCAACAUGUGCAGCCAACAGCAGUAAAGGUGCUAAUACAUGUCCAGUGAUGUCAGGAGUUACGAGACAGCAGUUUCAAAACACUGCAGUAAACAAGGUCAUAGUGUCCCGUUUUGCUGGAAGAAGGUUUGUUUUUAUGAGCUGGACAGUACAUGGAUGAAGUAAUUUUUCAAAACAAACAUCAAAUUUAUAGGUUGGGUUUUUCUUCCUACUUUUUGGAUUUAAAAAAAAAUUAACCAGAUGAGAUUUAGUAAGGGUUACAUUUUUAAGCAGAAUUAUACUUUUUCCCUGUUUUGGUUUUUUUAAAUUGAUUCUCCGUAGUUUCCACAGAGGAAAUGAAAAUACUGCUGAUCCAGGAUUCUUAAAUGCAGUUUUAGAGAGCAAAUGCCAAUCACCAUCACCAGUAAAACACUCCUUCUAAUUUUGUACCUUUCGCACUUACUUAGACAGGCAUCUACGUGCGAGAAAGUUAAUGGCGCAGAAUGCUGCUGACUGCAUGGUUCUCGUCUUAAUACAUUUUCCAACCUUGAACCUGAGAAUGCCAGAGGCUCAAGUCUCUGAAUGCUCGUCUGAGCCGUUAUCUGCUGGUGGCCUGGUUCCUGACCUAACAAGUGGGUGUCCCAGGCGUGCGUGUGGUAAUAGCAGCAGUGGUGCCACGUGGCGCCCAGAGGUCGCCUUGGUCUGCCCUGGAGAUUCCUGGUCCUUGGUGAAGCUUCUGAGUUGAACUGUGAACUUGGGGCAUCCUGAGAAGCGCAGGCAUUUUGGAGUUCCACAGCAAACCUGGAUGUUAAGUGUAAACACAGCUUAUAAAGUGAAAGCAGGGGCCUUGAGGAAGGGAAUUACCCUCAUCUCCUUCCGGACCUGCUUACUGUGCUGGAAAACAAAGUAAGUUUUGUUUGUUUUUAGUCAGUCUCUCCUACAUGUUUUUCUUGCUAACAUUAUUAAACACUCAGUAUCUGGCAAAUGCCAAGGUUUUUUUUUUUUUUUCCUUUUCAUUGGGAAGUAGGAGAUGAAGUUUGUUGAAUAGCUGAUUGCUUCUUUUAUCUUUUCUGUCUCUUCCUGUAUCUAGCUGCUGGCUGGCUUGUUAAGAGGUAAAAAGAGACUGAAAUUUAUCAUCAAUGAGAAAACAAAAAGUUCUCUUUUUUUCUCUUUUUAAAUGGUUCAAGAACUUUGCCAUUAAUUAAAUGACGGUGGGUGACACAGACAAGGCUUUUUAUGAGCUGCAGCCAGGAGCAUAUCUAGCAAAACAGCCCCAGUUCACUGCCCUUAUUUCCAUUGGGAAGCAGGAAGGGUGCGUGUAAAAGACAGGUACGAGGACGGGGGUGUCUGCACGUGGGAACUGCAGACACUAGGUGGGAAUGGCUGUUGGAUAAAAUGCUGUAAUUUUAAAGCCUGUCAGGAAAUGGAAAGGACCUGAAGAAUACAAGUUAUUUAAUGAUGUUGGGAAAAUAAAUUAAUAUAAAAAUGGGAUAAAAUGUAUAAAGUCCUAACCGAAUUUUCCCUUCAUGUUAGAAAGUUCCGUGCCUUGUAGAUUUAUAGAAAAUAUGUUUAAUAACUUUAAAAAAUAAUAAUUAAGAGGCUUCAUCUCCUACACAGAAGAUUCUGUGACACCAGCCUGAUUCUGACACUUGGCCCAUCUUACAUUUUUGUUUGUUUGUUUUUUAUGCUGAUCCUGUCUCCAGAGAUGUUACACGGCUUGAUAAAUUUUUAAUACAAAGCUCUGUGGUUUUGAAAAUGCAAAACGAAUAGAAAUGCAGAGUGGUUUGUGAUUUGUAAUUAAAAUUAUCCUCAUAAAAGGGACUGCUUUUACCGGAGAAUUUUCUUGACUUCUCUGAACUUAAACAGUGACACUUUGAAGGUAGAAGGGGGCAGCAUGUCUGUAGUGUGGCGUUGGAAAGCAGAAGUCAGGGGUCUUAGCUUCUAACUCUAGUGUGGAAUACAGUGUGAAUUUAAGUUCGGGCUUCUGUGCCGUGGGAGUUCCCUUUUUAUCUCAAAGUGGUGAUGGUAGGACUUGAGGUGUCUGUAUUUCAUUUGAAACACUCCAGGCUCCCUAUGUGAAUGUCUGUGAAUUAUUAAUUCAGCAAACAUCUUUAAGUACCUUCUUUCUGAAGGUACUUUCAGUGUUGUGCUCAGAGCUAUAGUUUUUCACAAUUAAAUUUACAGAGAUUUGGUUUAUAAAUCAAAGAUUGCGAACAGUUUGAAACAAGGCUGAAUGAGCAGAGCAUUACCAUCGAAACGGUUUGUUAAAGAUGGUGCCAAGUGAGCAGGGCUGUCCCCUCUGAGCUGCCCCUCCUAAUUAAAGGGGAAGGUGGCUGCCAUCUGUCUUCUUUCAUUCAAGGCAGUAGGGGGUCUGGGGUGGAAGGAAGCAACCCCCCCUCUUAUUUUUCUCCCACUCUUUUUUAUAGUCGGCUUUCUCCCUAGUCAGUGACCCAGAAGGUCAUUGAUGAUCUGUCUAUCUCAGAAUGAAUAGUAACAUAAGCAUGCAAGGCACUUGC